AUUGAACGCUGGCGGCAGGCUUAACACAUGCAAGUCGAGCGGAGACUUCGGUCUUAGCGGCGAACGGGUGAGUAAUACCUAGGAAUCUGCCUAUUAGUGGGGGAUAACGAAUCGAAAGGUUCGCUAAUACCGCAUACGUCCUACGGGAGAAAGGGGGGAGUCUUCGGACCUCUCGCUAAUAGAUGAGCCUAGGCCGGAUUAGCUAGUUGGUAGGGUAAAGGCCUACCAAGGCGACGAUCUGUAGCUGGUCUGAGAGGAUGGCCAGCCACACUGGAACUGAGACACGGUCCAGACUCCUACGGGAGGCAGCAGUGGGGAAUAUUGGACAAUGGGGGCGAACCCUGAUCCAGCCAUGCCGCGUGUGUGAAGAAGGCCUUCGGUUGGUAAGACACUUAAGUACGAGGA
RNAcentral lists this ribosomal RNA (405 nucleotides) under uncultured bacterium. Its description in RNAcentral is "bacterial SSU rRNA". It matches the Rfam family "Bacterial small subunit ribosomal RNA", at positions 30 to 446 of the family's 1533-position model. The record is from RNAcentral.